UGGGGAAUAUUGCACAAUGGGCGCAAGCCUGAUGCAGCAAUGCCGCGUGAGUGAAGACGGCCUUAGGGUUGUAAAACUCUUUCGCUAGGGAAGAUAAUGACGGUACCUAGUAAAGAAGUCCCGGCUAACUCCGUGCCAGCAGCCGCGGUAAUACGGAGGGGACUAGCGUUGUUCGGAAUUACUGGGCGUAAAGAGUUCGUAGGCGGACUAGCAAGUUAGAGGUGAAAUCCCAGGGCUCAACCUUGGAACUGCCUUUAAAACUGCUAGUCUAGAGACCGGAAGAGGUUAGGGGAAUACCUAGUGUAGAGGUGAAAUUCGUAGAUAUUAGGUGGAACACCAGUGGCGAAGGCGCCUAACUGGUCCGGUACUGACGCUGAGGAACGAAAAGCGUGGGGAGCAAACAGGAUUAGAUACCCUGGUAGUCCACGCCGUAAACGAUGAGUGCUAGAUGUUGGGAUUUUCGGAUUUCAGUGUCGCAGCUAACGCAUUAAGCACUCCGCCUGGGGAGUACGGCCGCAGGUUAAAACUC
Molecule: ribosomal RNA, 529 nt
Filed under: uncultured bacterium
Lineage: Bacteria
Description: bacterial SSU rRNA
Rfam family: Bacterial small subunit ribosomal RNA
Source: RNAcentral